CGUUCACACGUGAAGCGGUGUCCGAAGUGUGACUGUAUUGCUGGCUCACGGGCUCAGCGUCGGUGGUUUCCUCGCCUAGCUUUGUGUUCACCCAGGAUCUACUAGGCAUGGCUCUCGGUUCUGGCCGGCCUUGACCUGCCGCACGACGUAGCGGGGAGCCUACCCGCGCAAACUGCAGUCCCGGUUUCCGGCCACUUUUGGGCGCGCUAGCUAAUCCGUGCCAGGAGUGGAUUAGCUGGCACGUGGGAGCGGAUUAGCUAGCAAGGUUGGCAGGAGGUUGGUGAGGGAGUCGAACUGGACGUAGAGGCGGUUCAGGAGGCGCACGAUGUCCAUGGGCUGAACGUUCUCGCUGCCGCAGAGUGCCGUGAAUCCGACGAUGUCCGAGAAGAGGCACGACACCAUCUCGAACUU
Molecule: non-coding RNA, 411 nt
Organism: Dermacentor albipictus
Lineage: Eukaryota; Metazoa; Arthropoda; Arachnida; Ixodida; Ixodidae
Source: RefSeq, a predicted model, not a curated record